Molecule: ribosomal RNA, 1481 nt
Filed under: uncultured bacterium
Lineage: Bacteria
Description: 16S ribosomal RNA
Rfam family: Bacterial small subunit ribosomal RNA
Source: RNAcentral
GGCUCAGAAUUAACGCUAGCGACAGGCUUAACACAUGCAAGUCGAGGGGCAGCGUGUGGUGAAGGCUUGCCUUUACCAGCCGGCGACCGGCGCACGGGUGAGUAACACGUAUGCAACCUGCCUGCCACAGCCGGAUAAUCGGGAGAAAUUCCGUCUAAUACGGCAUAAUGCAUCGACGGGACAUCCUGUUGGUGCCAAAGGUUGAUUCCGGUGGCGGAUGGGCAUGCGUCGCAUUAGUUAGUUGGCGGUGUAACGGACCACCAAGACGACGAUGCGUAGGGGUUCUGAGAGGAAGGUCCCCCACACUGGUACUGAGACACGGACCAGACUCCUACGGGAGGCAGCAGUGAGGAAUAUUGGUCAAUGGGCGGGAGCCUGAACCAGCCAAGUCGCGUGAGGGAUGACGGCCCUAUGGGUUGUAAACCUCUUUUGCCGGGGAGCAAAGUGCCGCACGUGUGCGGUUUGGAGAGUACCCGGAGAAAAAGCAUCGGCUAACUCCGUGCCAGCAGCCGCGGUAAUACGGAGGAUGCGAGCGUUAUCCGGAUUUAUUGGGUUUAAAGGGUGCGUAGGCGGACGCUUAAGUCAGCGGUAAAAUUGCGGGGCUCAACCUCGUCGAGCCGUUGAAACUGGGUGCCUUGAGUGGGCGAGAAGUACGCGGAAUGCGUGGUGUAGCGGUGAAAUGCAUAGAUAUCACGCAGAACUCCGAUUGCGAAGGCAGCGUACCGGCGCCCAACUGACGCUGAAGCACGAAGGCGUGGGUAUCGAACAGGAUUAGAUACCCUGGUAGUCCACGCAGUAAACGAUGAAUGCUAGUUGUCCGGGGCGAUUGAGUUCUGGGUGACACAGCGAAAGCGUAAGCUUUCCACCUGGGGAGUACGCCGGCAACGGUGAAACUCAAAGGAAUUGACGGGGGCCCGCACAAGCGGAGGAACAUGUGGUUUAAUUCGAUGAUACGCGAGGAACCUUACCCGGGCUCAAACGCAGGAGAGAUGUUUUUGAAAGGAGGCAGCCAGCAAUGGUCUCCUGCGAGGUGCUGCAUGGUUGUCGUCAGCUCGUGCCGUGAGGUGUCGGCUUAAGUGCCAUAACGAGCGCAACCCCUACCUACAGUUGCCAUCGCGUGAUGGCGGGCACUCUGAGGGGACUGCCUGCGCAAGCAGUGAGGAAGGCGGGGAUGACGUCAAAUCAGCACGGCCCUUACGUCCGGGGCGACACACGUGUUACAAUGGCGGUACAGCGGGAAGCCACCCGGCGACGGGGCGCGGAACCCGAAAACCUGUCUCAGUUCGGAUUGGAGUCUGCAACCCGACUCCAUGAAGCUGGAUUCGCUAGUAAUCGCGCAUCAGCCACGGCGCGGUGAAUACGUUCCCGGGCCUUGUACACACCGCCCGUCAAGCCAUGGAAGCCGGGGGUGCCUGAAGUGCGUGACCGCAAGGAGCGCCCUAGGGUAAAACCGGUGACUGGGGCUAAGUCGUAACAAGGUA